AUCAAAUCUAUGCUUCGUUCAGCAUCUUUCUCCAUUGCAGGCAGCACCAAAACAUCUGGAGUUAGAAGAAACAGGACACAUAGGCGGCAUCUCACAGGACGCAUAGGCGGAAUCUCACAUGUCCCAACUGAGUUCCUGGAGAGACACUGAUUCAGAAGCGAGACAAGGUCUACUGUGAACUCCACAGCUCUGCAGUGGACUCGAGACCUGAGGAAAUGGAGUGUUUGUAUGCGGCUUUGCAUUCCAGAAUGGGGCACAGCCAUGUUCAUGGGGAGCAGCAGCUUGCAGAUGCUGGCAAGAUUCCUGAGUAUCCAACACAGUUCACCUGAGAGGAAAACACAAUGUUUCUUCAGUCGUCAAGCAGCAGAAAGGGAGCACAUUAACCCCGCAUCCUUUCGGGUACGGAUGUGUCUGUUUGGAUUUGAUAGUUCUUCUUUGUUCCUUCAUUUUAAGAUUUGGUCUGAAAGUGAUUGAUCAGCU
This 480-nucleotide long non-coding RNA is filed under the name Cricetulus griseus (Chinese hamster). RNAcentral's name for it is "lncRNA (ENSCGRG00000025416.1)". The record is from RNAcentral. Lineage: Eukaryota; Metazoa; Chordata; Mammalia; Rodentia; Cricetidae.